AGACAGCUAGGAUGUUGGCUUAGAAGCAGCCAUCAUUUAAAGAAAGCGUAAUAGCUCACUAGUCGAGUCGGCCUGCGCGGAAGAUGUAACGGGGCUCAAACCAGGCACCGAAGCCGCGGAUUCACGCUAAGCGUGAGUGGUAGGGGAGCGUUCUGUAAGUCUGCGAAGGUGUAUCGAGAGGUAUGCUGGAGAUAUCAGAAGUGCGAAUGCUGACGUAAGUAACGAUAAAGGGGGUGAAAAGCCUCCUCGCCGGAAGACCAAGGGUUCCUGUCCAACGUUAAUCGGGGCAGGGUGAGUCGACCCCUAAGGUGAGGCCGAAAGGCGUAAUCGAUGGGAAGCAGGUUAAUAUUCCUGCACGACUUGUAAUUGCGAUGGGGGGACGGAGAAGGCUAGGUGGGCCAGGCGACGGUUGUCCUGGUGAAAGUGCGUAGGUGGUGUUUCUAGGCAAAUCCGGAGACACAACACUGAGACACGAGACGAACGCACCACGGUGCGGAAGCCAUUGAUGCCCUGCUUCCAGGAAAAGCCUCUAAGCUUCAGAUUACAAGUCAUCGUACCCCAAACCGACACAGGUGGUCGGGUAGAGAAUACCAAGGCGCUUGAGAGAACUCGGGUGAAGGAACUAGGCAAAAUAGAACCGUAACUUCGGGAGAAGGUUCGCUCUUGAUGGUGAAGUCCCUUGCGGAUGGAGCUGUCGGGAGUCGCAGUGACCAGAUGGCUGGGACUGUUUAUCAAAAACACAGCACUCUGCAAACACGAAAGUGGACGUAUAGGGUGUGACACCUGCCCGGUGCCGGAAGGUUAAUUGAUGGGGUUAGCGCAAGCGAAGCUCUUGAUCGAAGCCCCGGUAAACGGCGGCCGUAACUAUAACGGUCCUAAGGUAGCGAAAUUCCUUGUCGGGUAAGUUCCGACCUGCACGAAUGGUGUAACCAUGGCCAUGCUGUCUCCACCCGAGACUCAGUGAAAUCGAAUUCGCCGUGAAGAUGCGGUGUACCCGCGGCUAGACGGAAAGACCCCGUGAACCUUUACUACAGCUUGGCACUGAACAUUGAACCUACAUGUGUAGGAUAGGUGGGAGGCUUUGAAGGCGUGACGCCAGUUGCGCUGGAGCCGUCCUUGAAAUACCACCCUUGUAUGUUUGAUGUUCUAACGCAGGGCCCUGAAUCGGGCUCGCGGACAGUGCCUGGUGGGUAGUUUGACUGGGGCGGUCUCCUCCCAAAGAGUAACGGAGGAGCACGAAGGUUGGCUAAUCCUGGUCGGACAUCAGGAGGUUAGUGCAAUGGCAUAAGCCAGCUUAACUGCGAGACGGACAGGUCGAGCAGGUACGAAAGUAGGUCAUAGUGAUCCGGUGGUUCUGAAUGGAAGGGCCAUCGCUCAACGGAUAAAAGGUACUCCGGGGAUAACAGGCUGAUACCGCCCAAGAGUUCAUAUCGACGGCGGUGUUUGGCACCUCGAUGUCGGCUCAUCACAUCCUGGGGCUGAAGUCGGUCCCAAGGGUAUGGCUGUUCGCCAUUUAAAGUGGUACGCGAGCUGGGUUCAGAACGUCGUGAGACAGUUCGGUCCCUAUCUGCCGUGGGCGUUGGAUGAUUGAAGGGAGUUGCUCCUAGUACGAGAGGACCGGAGUGAACGAACCUCUGGUGUUCGGGUUGUCACGCCAGUGGCACUGCCCGGUAGCUAAGUUCGGAAUCGAUAACCGCUGAAAGCAUCUAAGCGGGAAGCGAGCCCUGAGAUGAGUCAUCCCUGACCCCUUGAGGGUCCUAAAGGGCCGUUGGAGACCACAACGUUGAUAGGUGGGGUGUGUAAGCGUAGCGAUACGUUGAGCUAACCCAUACUAAUUACCCGUGAGGCUUAACCAU
RNAcentral lists this ribosomal RNA (1856 nucleotides) under Aeromonas caviae. RNAcentral describes it as "partial 23S ribosomal RNA". It matches the Rfam family "Bacterial large subunit ribosomal RNA", at positions 1087 to 2925 of the family's 2925-position model. The record is from RNAcentral. Lineage: Bacteria; Pseudomonadati; Pseudomonadota; Gammaproteobacteria; Aeromonadales; Aeromonadaceae.